RNAcentral lists this ribosomal RNA (492 nucleotides) under uncultured bacterium. Its description in RNAcentral is "partial 16S ribosomal RNA". It matches the Rfam family "Bacterial small subunit ribosomal RNA", at positions 29 to 507 of the family's 1533-position model. The record is from RNAcentral.
AGUGAACGCUGGCGGUAGGCCUAACACAUGCAAGUCGAACGGCAGCACAGUAAGAGCUUGCUCUUACGGGUGGCGAGUGGCGGACGGGUGAGGAAUACAUCGGAAUCUACUUUUUCGUGGGGGAUAACGUAGGGAAACUUACGCUAAUACCGCAUACGACCUACGGGUGAAAGCAGGGGAUCUUCGGACCUUGCGCGAUUGAAUGAGCCGAUGUCGGAUUAGCUAGUUGGCGGGGUAAAGGCCCACCAAGGCGACGAUCCGUAGCUGGUCUGAGAGGAUGAUCAGCCACACUGGAACUGAGACACGGUCCAGACUCCUACGGGAGGCAGCAGUAGGGAAUAUUGGACAAUGGGCGCAAGCCUGAUCCAGCCAUACCGCGUGAGUGAAGAAGGCCUUCGGGUUGUAAAGCCCUUUUGUUGGGAAAGAAAAGCAGCAGAUUAAUACCCCGCUGUUCUGACGGUACCCAAAGAAUAAGCACCGGCUAACUUCGUG